Molecule: transfer RNA, 69 nt
Filed under: Agrilus planipennis (emerald ash borer)
Lineage: Eukaryota; Metazoa; Arthropoda; Insecta; Coleoptera; Buprestidae
Rfam family: tRNA
About the family: Transfer RNA (tRNA) molecules are approximately 80 nucleotides in length.
Source: Rfam by way of RNAcentral
AUCCUUGGAACUUAGUGGUAGAGUCGGUAUUUAAAACCGGACGCCCGGGUUCGAUUCCCGGCAAGGGUA